UAAUAUUAUAAGACGAGAAGACCCCAUGGAGCUUUAAACCCAAUUAUAUUCCUAACCCCCAUAGCCAUUUAAUCUCUUAGGCCCUAUAUGCUUGGUUUUAGGUUGGGGCGACCACGGAGUAAAACCAAACCUCCAUGAUGUACGGAGCAACCUCCUUAUCUAAGAGCCACAGCUCUAAGAAUUAGCACACUAUCAUAAAGUGACCCAUUAUUGAUCAACGAACCAAGUUACCCUGGGGAUAACAGCGCAAUCCAUUUUAAGAGCCCCU
RNAcentral lists this ribosomal RNA (268 nucleotides) under Mantidactylus femoralis. RNAcentral describes it as "partial 16S ribosomal RNA". Lineage: Eukaryota; Metazoa; Chordata; Amphibia; Anura; Mantellidae. The record is from RNAcentral.